Crotalus tigris (Tiger rattlesnake) is the source of this 566-nucleotide long non-coding RNA. RefSeq lists it as uncharacterized. The record is from RefSeq and is a predicted model, not a curated record. NCBI's taxonomy places the organism in Eukaryota, Metazoa, Chordata, Lepidosauria, Squamata, Viperidae. The transcript is spliced from 4 exons.
AUUAAAACAGCCACAUUUAGCUAAAGAAAUGCAAAAGUAAGAUGACAACAUGGUGGAACCUUGGAGGACGAAAGCCAUUCACUGCAUACAUAAAUAUACUCACCAGGUAUCAAAGUAAUAUUUGAAACAGAGUACAUUGGAAAAAAACACGGCGUUUUUAAUAGUUUUUGACAGAGCUCUAUGAUUCAUACAGAAGAGGUUUUGGUCUUGAGAGGACUGUUUUCAAAUGAUCUAAUCUUCCUACUGGUAUAUUUCCACAAGAUGGUGUUCAUCACAUAAAGAAGCUUCUUCAUAUCAAGAUGAGGCAAGAUAACUUAAGCAUCUCUUCAGAAGACAUUCAGCUGAACCAAAGUGUUUAAAUAGUUGUAGUGCUAAUAUAUUUUGGGAUUCACCCUACCCCCACCACUCUAUCUCCAUUAUAUAUGUUAAAUAGUAAUUAUUCAUUUAUGAAAUUCUAAAUCUGGCUGAGUACCAAAUAAAGAUAGAUUAGGUAUAUAUGAAUAGUGUUGUAUUUUAAAUGUGCAAGGUACAAUGGAAAUAGCUAAGGCAACUGAUAAAAAAGCAGA